This 253-nucleotide ribosomal RNA is filed under the name uncultured bacterium. RNAcentral describes it as "partial 16S ribosomal RNA". It matches the Rfam family "Bacterial small subunit ribosomal RNA", at positions 524 to 776 of the family's 1533-position model. The record is from RNAcentral.
UACGUAGGGUGCGAGCGUUAAUCGGAAUUACUGGGCGUAAAGCGUGCGCAGGCGGUUUUGUAAGCCGGAUGUGAAAUCCCCGGGCUUAACCUGGGAAUGGCAUUCGGGACUGCAAGGCUGGAGUGCGGCAGAGGAGACUGGAAUUCCUGGUGUAGCAGUGAAAUGCGUAGAUAUCAGGAGGAACACCGAUUGCGAAGGCAGCUCGCUGGAACGUUACUGACGCUGAGACGCGAAAGCGUGGGGAGCAAACAGG